GACGAACGGCUGGCGGCGUGCCUAACACAUGCAAGUCGAACGGAGUUACUCCUUCGGGGGUAACUUAGUGGCGAACGGGUGAGUAACGCGUGAGAAACCUGCCUUUCAGUGGGGGACAACAGUUGGAAACGACUGCUAAUACCGCAUAAUGUAUUCGGGGGGCAUCCCCUGAAUACCAAAGAUUUAUUGCUGAAAGAUGGUCUCGCGUCUGAUUAGCUAGUUGGUGAGGUAACGGCUCACCAAGGCGACGAUCAGUAGCCGGUCUGAGAGGAUGAACGGCCACAUUGGGACUGAGAUACGGCCCAGACUCCUACGGGAGGCAGCAGUGGGGAAUAUUGGGCAAUGGGGGAAACUCUGACGCAGUGACGCCGCGUAUAGGAAGAAGGUUUUCGGAUUGUAAACUAUUGUCUGCAGGGAAGAAACAAGACUGUACCUGCAAAGAAAGCUCCGGCUAACUACGUG
RNAcentral lists this ribosomal RNA (462 nucleotides) under uncultured bacterium. RNAcentral's name for it is "bacterial SSU rRNA". It matches the Rfam family "Bacterial small subunit ribosomal RNA", at positions 35 to 507 of the family's 1533-position model. The record is from RNAcentral.